AAUAUUUCACAAUGGGGGAGACCCUGAUGCAGCGACGCCGCGUGAGUGAAGAAGUAUUNAGGUAUNUNAAGCUCUAUCAGCAGGGNAGAAAAUGACGGUACCUGACCAAGAAGCGCCGGCUAACUACGUGCCAGCAGCCGCGGUAAUACGUAGGGGGCAAGCGUUAUCCGGAAUUACUGGGUGUAAAGGGAGCGUAGGUGGUUUGGUAAGUCAGAUGUGAAAGCCCGGGGCUCAACCCCGGAACUGCAUUUGAAACUAUCAAACUAGAGUGCAGGAGAGGUAAGUGGAAUUCCUAGUGUAGCGGUGAAAUGCGUAGAUAUUAGGAGGAACACCAGUGGCGAAGGCGGCUUACUGGACUGUAACUGACACUGAGGCUCGAAAGCGUGGGGAGCAAACAG
RNAcentral lists this ribosomal RNA (398 nucleotides) under uncultured bacterium. RNAcentral's name for it is "partial 16S ribosomal RNA". It matches the Rfam family "Bacterial small subunit ribosomal RNA", at positions 360 to 775 of the family's 1533-position model. The record is from RNAcentral.